RNAcentral lists this ribosomal RNA (253 nucleotides) under uncultured bacterium. RNAcentral describes it as "partial 16S ribosomal RNA". It matches the Rfam family "Bacterial small subunit ribosomal RNA", at positions 524 to 776 of the family's 1533-position model. The record is from RNAcentral.
UACAGAGGUCCCAAGCGUUGUUCGGAUUCACUGGGCGUAAAGGGUGCGUAGGCGGUCGGGUAAGUCUGAUGUGAAAUCUCACAGCUUAACUGUGAAACUGCAUUGGAUACUAUCCGGCUCGAGGAAUGGAGGGGAGACUGGAAUACUUGGUGUAGCAGUGAAAUGCGUAGAUAUCAAGUGGAACACCAGUGGCGAAGGCGGCUAUCUGGACUGACACUGACGCUGAGGCGCGAGAGCGUGGGGAGCAAACAGG